GAGACUGACUUCGAACUGCUAAUUCGCAAAAACCGAGCUUGAACCCUCGGUCCUCUC
RNAcentral lists this transfer RNA (57 nucleotides) under Agama kirkii. RNAcentral describes it as "tRNA-Ser". The record is from RNAcentral. Lineage: Eukaryota; Metazoa; Chordata; Lepidosauria; Squamata; Agamidae.